UGCAACUAUACCUAACAAGAGUCACAAUUAUUAUUUUUUUUUUUUUUUUUACCUUUUUAUAGAUAAACAAGAUGGUAAAUCAUCAAGUAGUUAUACAAAAAACUUUUAUAAAAGUUUAAAUAACUACGUACGAGAAUUUGAUAGUAUUGAAAAAAAAGAAAAUAAGAAUGAUGAAUUAAUUAAUGAAGUGUACGACAAACAGAACACACCAACAGUUCAACUAUUUAAUACAAGUUCUAAAGGUGGAAAUCGUUCAAGAUUGUUCGACAACCAGUGGAAAAAGUACAAUUAUAAUUAUAAAAAAUGGAAACGAAAGAAUAAACUAUGAUUAUAUAAAUGCCACCAAUGAAUACUAUAAACCAACAAACGUUGAAGAGAAAGUAACAAACACAGGAAUAACUAAUAAAACCUUUUUUCAGAUAAUAAUGUGUUGCAAUAUGAAGAUAGCAUGA
Molecule: long non-coding RNA, 452 nt
Filed under: Piliocolobus tephrosceles (Ugandan red Colobus)
Lineage: Eukaryota; Metazoa; Chordata; Mammalia; Primates; Cercopithecidae
Description: lncRNA (ENSPTEG00000007692.1)
Source: RNAcentral